This is a long non-coding RNA of Lolium perenne, 3570 nucleotides long. RefSeq lists it as uncharacterized. The record is from RefSeq and is a predicted model, not a curated record. NCBI's taxonomy places the organism in Eukaryota, Viridiplantae, Streptophyta, Magnoliopsida, Poales, Poaceae.
ACACAUGCUAACAGUGUUCCCCAGUCUCUGCAGCUCCGAUGGCUCCGCCGACGCGCAUGGCCGCGAUAGCAACAACCCCGUCGCCGCAGAGGUCUUCCACGUCAGAACCGUCCUCGACGGCAGCCAACAAAUGGUCUCCCGCCAGAGGCGUGGUGGAGGGGAAAUUUUUCCUAGUAGGAGGCUUGUUAGAUUAAAUUGGACGUUGGAUCUGCCCGGUUUCUCAUAUAAGGAGAUACUUCUAGAAGCCAUGAAUUCGAUUCGACGGCGAACGUCCGGAGGCUGAACAGCCUAAUUCCCGCGUAUACAGAUCGCAAUGGUGAGCGGAUACAGAUGGGACAGCUUCUCUUUGAUCUCAAUGGCCGCCUUGAUAGCUCGGUCACCUAUUGUUCAGCGCCCCGACCAUGAAUGGCAGUUGCGACACUGCGGAUCUACUCCCCUACGGCUCCUUCUUUCUGUGCUGCUAGAUAUGUCUCGUAAUAUCAGUUAUUAUAUGAUAUGUUCGAUUUUGGAUAUAACAGAAUAUUUGCUGGGCAAUUCCAGUUCUAGAAUCCCCCAUGCCUGUUUCCAGUGAACUUAUCUUCAGAAACAGCUUUCUUAUUAACCUGUUGUAUUUCAAAUUUUCUUCAAUAAAAAUGCUUACCAUCGAUCUAAUUAUAUGAUUAUAUUACAGGGAAGCUCUUUGUAUUUUGAUUUAUCUAUGACUUCCAUGUACUUGGUCAGUUGUCACCCCCAAGGCCCCAAGAUUUCUGCUCAUCCGGAUGGUAAUUCUGCAUCUGUAAGGAUCUUAUUCUAAUAAAUUCUCUAAAUUCCCAGUCCGAUAUGUUUCCAUGUGGCCUUCUAUGCAGGGUGUCUCCAUAGAGAGAACCAUCCAUGUAACCUUGUUGAUAGCCACUGGCUCACAAAUUAUAAUCUCACUUUGACAGCCUAGCCAAGGUUUGGUCAGAUCUUAUUGCGGAUCACUGUUUUUGCAUUUUCACUGAGUGUUCUGAUAUAAUAUUGAUUUUACCAGGUUUGUUAAGUGUCUGAUACAAUUUUAGCAAAAUUAUUGUAUCAUGUAGAUACCGUAAAGAGGUCAAAUAUGUUGUAUGGGUAUAUAACAUCGCUUAGCAUCUUAGCAGAUAUUAUCUUGUUUCUUGCCAUGGCAUUUGGUUCUCCAGAGUUACAUUUUUAAGCCACAUGCUUGACAUGUUUCUUUCUGGCUUAGCUGAUAUUUUAUACCUAACAGUAGGAAAUAUUUCAGCUAUUUUUUCCCUCUACAGAGCAGGUCUUUUGCGCUCCUUUCCCCAAGAAUUCCCAAAGAGAAAGAAGUGAUUAUUAGAUGGUGUGUGAGACAAGCUGGAAGCUGAAGUGCUUUUAUUAUCUGGUCAUUCCUUUUUAGUUAGUUAUACUUCUGUUUGGCAGAACAAAUGAUCCUAUUAAGCAGAACAAAAAAAAGCAGAUGAUUUCCCACAGUAGAAGUCAUUAGCUAUACAAUGCCACACAUAAUUAUUUGACCACUUUCCCAGUGAAGUUUCUUUCCCUGCUUGGCCCACUGAGAGGUAAGCUACAAGGGGUAAUUAGUUUUACUAUGGAAAAUGAUCUGAUUCCCCCAGGGGAUGCAUCCUUCGCAACCUCCCCCUUCCCUGUGCGCCGCGUGUCCUCUCGACGUCGUGCAGGGUCCACCAAGACUGCUUACCUUCCACGCUUUCUUCCUCCUCCACUCGUUCUUAUGUUUAAUCCUUUUUUCCCUCUUUCUCUUUCUCCAACUCUCCCUGCCCACCACCACACGCCAUGGCCAACGUGAUGGGAGACCGGGCGCUGGCGCCGGAGAUCCUGCCGUCGCUGGCCGGCUGCCGCCACGCUUUGCGGUCCACGGCGGCGCUGCGGGCGCUACCAACGUCGGGGCCGGCCACCGCUGCGCGGCGAGGCGGGCGAAACCACACCGGCAUGGGCCACCUUGAUGGGAGUUCGGGCGCCGGAGAUCCUGCCGCCGCGCUGCGGCCCACGGCGACACUGCUGCCGGUGCUACCAACAUCGGGGACGGCCGCCGUUGCGCGCCGCGACCAGCGUCGCCCUCCUCGUCCUCGCCGCCGCCGGUCAGGCCCACGGCGCGGUCGAGCUCCUCAGUGGCGGCAGCUGCGGCGUCCGGCCGGCGGAGGAGCUCCGUUAGGGCCCACUCCAUGGCCACCGCCCGAUAGUGUAUUUUUCCGCUACAAUAGUGUAUUUUUCCGCUACAAUUGUUAUAUUGUUUUGCUACUUUUAGUACAAAAAUUAUGCUGCGAUGUCUCCGAUGAGGUCGGAUUUGCUACAAUAGCAUAACUUUUUUGCUACUAGGUCUCCGGUGAAGUCUCCGACGAGGUCUACGGUGAGAUCUAGGUUGAUGUCUCCGGUGAGAUUGUUUUUGCUACAAUAUUAUAAUUUUUUUGCUAGGGGUCUCCGACGAGGUCUCCGGCUUGUCUCCGGUGAGGUCUCCGGCGAGCUUAACCUGUUUUACUUUAUUUUCGUGGGCAAACCCUUUUUUGCUAUACUGAAGUAAAAGCGUAAUUUUUUUUGCUACCCGAUAGCAAAAAGGACACGUGUCAGCAUAUGGACCAGGAGGCUGGGAAAUUUAGAUCGUGGGGGCGCCAAGUACUGUCCUUUUACUAUUCACUUAUUUUGUAGUUCAUUUCUUUCUACAUUGAAAGAUCGAGAAUCUGUUAGCUUUGGCUGAUUGACGAGUGUUACACUCAUUAAUUGUGUUAUCAAAUAUUAAAUGCUGCUCCACCGAUCCCACAUAUGGUGAUAAUUACUCAAUUUGAACCGGUGAAAGCUUACUAGCUCCUUUUGCUAGCAUGGUGCAGCAGCAGCAAAAGUCAGCUGUACUGGUGAUGCAAUAGAAAAACUGUUUUAAAUAGGCAAUACUAUCUCUAUAACGUGGGGUAUUUGAAUUUCAGAAGGGAAUUAUUAGUUGAGUACAAGAGAAAAACUAUAUGAUCAGUUCAGAGGUCACUACUUAGUGCUUCUAAGAACUGAAAAGUGUGCCCACUACCACAAGUCAGUGACUCGCUGCCAUCACUGUCAAGAUGCUUAGCUCUGAUUGGAAUCCCAAUGUCUCAUUGUGGACACACUGUUUGUACAACUGGUUUUUUACUAAUCUUAAUGCGAAAUAUAUGCAGCCAGACGUAAUGGCCCUCAACUUGAAGGGAAUGUUCUUCUAUGAAGGUCGACAAUUUCUGAUUAUCCUUAAAUAUCCUCCAGAUUUGCUCAUCUAUGUUAUUCAGACAGUAAAGUAUGCAUGAAGAAUGAUGCUAGAAGUGUGAGUUCCUGAACUUCUCCAUUUUUUCUUGUGCUGCCUAGAAAUGAAGUAAGUGCAAGGUGCCCAGUGCUCGUUCGUAUGUAAUUAUACUCGUGGCAAUACUUAACAUGUUUGGAAAUAGAAAAGGUUAGAUUGGAAUGAUGGCGCUCUUAGUCUUCAUGGCAGUCAAUAGGAGAUUAGCAGAUGGAGCGGCUUGUUGGCUCAAAUAUAGUUUUGUGUACUUCUCAGUUCAAGGCUGUAUGUCCUGAAUCUUUGGAAUGUUUUAAUCUUGAUGUUUGCGGUGUUGUUUUGAACAA